This 156-nucleotide non-coding RNA is filed under the name unclassified sequences. Its description in RNAcentral is "DUF2800 RNA". It matches the Rfam family "DUF2800 RNA". From Rfam's summary of the family: Actinobacteria, Firmicutes, Synergistetes (1 example). Terminator (Clostridia) The record is from RNAcentral.
CCGUUGUUCACCGCAUCGUCUGAUCCACGAUGGCUCAACAGUGAAUUACGGACAAGUUAAUACACACAGCGCCUAUUGAGCGGGUUGCUGCAAUCCGAAGCGGAGAGAUUCGUUUGGACUGCGGUUUGCUUUUUGCACCCUUUUUGCAUUGACGCU